AGCAGCCGCGGUAAUUCCAGCUCCAAUAGCGUAUAUUAAAGUUGUUGCAGUUAAAAAGCUCGUAGUUGAAUUUUGGGUCUGGCCGGGCGGUCCGCCCUCCGGGUGAGCACUGUUCCGACGCCGGGCCUAUCCUUCUGGUGAGUCGGCAUGUCCUUUGUUGGGUGUGUCGGGGAACCAGGACCAUUACCUUGAAAAAAUUAGAGUGUUCAAAGCAGGCGUAUGCUCGGAUACAUUAGCAUGGAAUAAUGAAAUAGGACGCGUGGUGCUAUUUUGUUGGUUUCUAGAACCGCCGUAAUGAUUAAUAGGGAUAGUUGGGGGCAUUAGUAUUCAAUUGUCAGAGGUGAAAUUCUUGGAUUUAUUGAAGACUAACUUCUGCGAAAGCAUUUGCCAAGGAUGUUUUCAUUAAUCAAGAACGAAAGUUAGUGGAUCGAAGACGAUCAGAUACCGUCGUAGUCUUAACCAUAAACUAUGCCGACUAGGAAUCGGGCGAUGUUAUUCUCAUGACUCGCCC
Molecule: ribosomal RNA, 511 nt
Filed under: uncultured Ambispora
Lineage: Eukaryota; Fungi; Glomeromycota; Glomeromycetes; Archaeosporales; Ambisporaceae
Description: SSU rRNA
Rfam family: Eukaryotic small subunit ribosomal RNA
Source: RNAcentral